Molecule: ribosomal RNA, 300 nt
Filed under: uncultured Nocardioides sp.
Lineage: Bacteria; Bacillati; Actinomycetota; Actinomycetes; Propionibacteriales; Nocardioidaceae
Description: partial 16S ribosomal RNA
Rfam family: Bacterial small subunit ribosomal RNA
Source: RNAcentral
GCUUAGGGCGUGCGCGUAGAGGGGGUAAUAGGGGUGCGGUGAGCGGUGUGCGGAAUUAAUGUGCGGAAAGUGUGUGUAGGUGGCGCGCUAAGUCAGACGUGAAAUCCCGCAGCGCAACGUGGGAACUGCGUCGGAGACGGGCAAGCUCGAGUACAGGAGAGGAACGCGGAAGUUCAGGUGGAGCGGUGAAAUGCGUAGAUAUCUGGAGGAACACCGGUGGCGAAGGCGGCGUUCUGGACUGCAACUGACACUGAGAAACGAAAGCCAGGGGAGCAAACGGGAUUAGAUACCCUGGUAGUC